UCUGGCCCUGGGGAGUCUUGCCUGUUCAGGGGCUGUGGUUAAGGCUCUGAUUUCCUUGUUGGUAUAAAAAACGAGGGCAGGCGUUUCUGUCAUGGUUCAGUGGUUAACGAAUCCAACUAGGAACCAUGAGGUUGAGGGUUCGAUCCCUGGUCUCACUCAGUAGGUUAAGAAUCCGGUGCUGCCGUGAACUGUGGUGUAGGUCGCAGACACGGCUUGGAUCCCGAGUUGCUGUGGCUGUGGCAUGGACUGGGGGCUACAGCUCCAAUUCGACCCCUAGCCUGGGAACCUCCAUAUGCCUCGGGUGCGGCCCUUAAAAGAUAGAAAGACAAAAAAAAAAAAAAAAAAAAAAAAAAAAAAAAAAAAACGAGGGCAUCACCUCAUCUCCAAGUUUCCCCCAGAGGCACAGGACCUGCUCCCACUGUCUUGGUAUCCCAGCCUGCUGUCCCCUGGGGCCUGAGGGCCAAGGCCUGACUCUGACUGUCUUCAUUGCAUUUGAAGAUUGUUGUGGCCACUUCACUCCUUGGGGCCCUAGUCGUGGCACCUAGCCCACCCCCUCGUCCCUCUGGGUGGGGAGGGGCCGGAUUGUUAUGUGGGCAUCUUGGUAGCAGACCCAGGCAGAGAGAGAGGAAGCCCUUGAGGGUAGUGGGAGUUGGGCCCCCAGCUCCUAAAGGGAGAGGAGCAGGGGUGUGUGCAGGGUUCUGCUGGGGCGGCUUGCACGCUGGUGUCCGAGACGGGCUAGGAAGAGGUGCUGCAUGGAUCUGUGUGCCAGGGAGGCCCCGGCCUACUCGGACCUGCACCACCUCUGUGUGGCCCUCCUGGAGACCCAGAAGUGUGGGCUAAGACCUCAGGGUCCUAUCUUGGCCCCGGCUUUGGCUACUGUGACUCCAGCCAGGGGAGGGUCUUGGUUACUGUCCCUGAGUGCAUGACAUUGUCACUGCCAGGAGGCCCCAGGGUCCAGCCCCACUGCCAGCCAAGGAGAGGCCCAAGGUCAACUGCUUCCUGUUGUAAUAGGGCUGGGCCCCAAACCCAGGCCCUCUCUGGCCAGAGCCCUUGACCCUGCACCAAUGACCAGUCUCACAGGAACAAGAAAGAAACCAAAUGGAGCUCUGGCAGGUGAGGUCAGCCCCCUCAGGAGGGGAGGAGGAAAGGGCUGUCCCUCGCAAGGACAGGAGAAUUUGGCAACUCUUCUACCUUGGCUUCUUGUACGUGGAAAACUCCCCACUCCUCACCCAAAUCCUCCCCUCCUCACAGAGCACACCCUAAGUGCCUUCUUUGACCCUAAGACCUUGCAACUCCCCGGGGAGGGUCCCUGAGAAACAAGAUGAGCUUCCUAAAGGGGAUGGGGGCCCAAGGUGGGAAUGGGAGGGGCAGUGGCUGCACUCAGCCAGGCUUACAGGUCAGAUUUGCAGGAAGCCGAGCAGGAGCGGCUAGAGCCGAAGGAGAGGAUUCUGGAGACAGAGGAGAAAGGCAAGGGAUGGGUCUGGGCCAAGCGUGGAGGGAAGGGUAAGCAUGAGGAGUGGCACUGGUUCACCGAUUCCUUGCCAGUCAGUGGACUGGACGGUGCUGGGAGUGGCGCCUGGCUAUGUCCUGCUCAGCAGAAGCAAGACUGGCUUCCAAGACACCUGGGAUGGGGGCGGGGGGGCAGUGCAGCCAGGACCGGCCCCAAGGAGGUUCUGCUUUGAGGCUGAUGCAGUUCCAUGGGCUAGGACUUGAGAGGGAGGGUAGCCCUUGCCAGCUAAGGUGCUUCAGCGCUGGGCCACACUAUGGAAAGGGCCCAGAGCCGGGAGGAAAAUGAAGAAGGAAGCGGUAUUUAAAGACCUCUUGCAGAAAUCCUCCAUCUGAUCCUCCUCUCCCCAUUUUACAGAAAAGGGAAGUGUUGGAAGGGUUGGCUGGCUCCAGAUCACACAACCCAGGGAGACUAUGGCCUCCAGAGCUUCUGUGACGUCACCACACCACGGAUUCGCCGGGGCCUGGGGUGAGAUGGGCACGGUGGGUGUUACGAUCUAGGGUGUUCUGUCCUGUCCCCCAGUGGGACCUCUCCCCACCCACCAACAGGGAGCCCAGAGCCCAGUAUAGACGCCUCCAAAGCCAGCCCCUGCUGGCCUGUGCAGUGUGUGCCCGGGAGCCCAGCACAGGGCCCUCAGAGCAGCGCACUGAGCUGGGGUCCAGCAGCCAAGCCCGUCCGCGAGCGUCAAGCCUGAGCUUGUUCUAGGGGGAACUUCUGAACCGUGACCCUUCAGUCUCAUUUCAAGGGAAAAAAUUGAAAGUUUGGAGUCAGCAAGGGUGACCCUGACUGAGGCCAGAUUGAGAGGCGCUGGGGGGUCAAGUAGCUGCCCACACGCCCCACUCUCGGUCCCACCCUGCAGGACCUCCAGGAUGGUCGUAGGUGGGAAGAGGCCUGGAGGCCCCGGAUGGUCACGAAGAGCAGCCUCCUCUUUCCCCUGGUUGAGAGCCUCACUCGGUGCCUGCCUGAGGGGACCCUGGCUCUCGGGCGAGGUGGAGACAUGGUUCCCGUGUGGAAGCAGCACUGCCUGAGCAGCUGCUUUGGAAUCCAGUCACCACCUCAUGGCCACCUGACUGUGCCCUCUCCCCAGGGCCGGGUUCUAGGAGGAGGAAGAGUAAGGCAGGAUGAGGACGAGGUCUUGGGUGACUGUCAGGGUAAAGGCUCAGAUCCUUGUCCUCAAGAAGAAAGUUCCUGUCUCUGUAUGCAGCAGUCAACCAAAAUUUGGUGUCUCCCCAAGGUCACACCUUGCUAGGGAGGAAUGGGCUGGGAUGGUUUAAUAGGACCAGAUACAAACCCUAGGUGAGGUGACAAGGCCCCGAGGGCACUCUCCUCAUGUUGCCUAAGAAACUCACCCUAGGAACAGGACUUAGCAGAAGUGGGUGGGCUGGGAGCCCUAAGUUCAACCAUGAUUGUGUAGAAAACGCUCAGCAGUAGCCCUCUGGAGCUUGAGGGCAGGUCAAGUUCAACUUGACCUUGGGGCAAACCACUUCCUCGCCUGCAGGACUGAAAAUCCCUGAGUGCUCGGCGCAGAGCUGGCUUGAAGCCCAGGCUCACCAAGGCCACAGUGGGAGUCAGUGGCAAAACCCGCACCCAGGGCUUAGGUUUCUCCUCAUUUCUUCCCAUUUUCCCUGUGCCAUCCUGAUGCAGCUGGUCAGGAAUGGGCGGUGUCACUUCUCAGUAAAUGGGAUCAGACAGGGGGCUCUGCAAAACCACGGAAUUCCACAGGCAAGUCACCACCCAGCAGUGACCUCCUCAAAACAACCACUCUGACUUUAUAAAACCUCCCAGCAUAAAAAAUAAAUGAAGGCAGUGAACAUUG
Molecule: long non-coding RNA, 3323 nt
Filed under: Sus scrofa (pig)
Lineage: Eukaryota; Metazoa; Chordata; Mammalia; Artiodactyla; Suidae
Description: lncRNA (ENSSSCG00000051831.1)
Source: RNAcentral